RNAcentral lists this unclassified non-coding RNA (437 nucleotides) under Hevea brasiliensis (rubber tree). The record is from RNAcentral. Lineage: Eukaryota; Viridiplantae; Streptophyta; Magnoliopsida; Malpighiales; Euphorbiaceae.
GGUCCCUCUCCCUUCUUCCGUUUCUCUCUCUAACUCUCUGUUCAAAAGUUUCCAUUACAUACAGUAAAGUUCAAUUUAUUUACCAAAGUUUCUGCGCGCACACAGAUAUUUGGAUUUGUUGCUUCCUGAAAUUGUAGCAAUCGGCGGCAGUAGCAGCCAUGGGAAAUUGCUGCUCCGACGAGAACGGUGGACAUUCGGGGGUCGGCGGUAACGGUGCUUACGCGGCAAAUCAAAACAACGGCCAUAACGAAGCCUUCGAUGCUCUACUCAAGUCUCGCGGUUACCAAGGCCUCUACUCGCAUGUCGAGUUGUCUCUAUCUGCUACCGGUUUGCGUGAUCGCGAUGUGCUUUCCAAGAGUGAUCCUAUGGUAGUCAUUUAUUCAAAAGGAAGAGAUGGUUCAUUGCAAGAGCUUAGUCGUACUGAAGUAGUUCCAAAC